UGUGUGUGUGUGUGUGUGUGUGUGUGUGUGUGUGUGUGUGAUAUCAGAUGGGUACUCGGCCGAUGCACCAGUCCAGGUGUGUGGAUGGGACAGGUCUAGU
Molecule: long non-coding RNA, 100 nt
Organism: Sander lucioperca (pikeperch)
Lineage: Eukaryota; Metazoa; Chordata; Actinopteri; Perciformes; Percidae
Exons: 3
Source: RefSeq, a predicted model, not a curated record